GCAAGUCGAACGGUAACAUAAGCGCUUGCGCUUGAUGACGAGUGGCGCACGGGUGCGUAACGCGUAUACAAUCUACCUCUAUCUGGAAGAUAGCCCGAAGAAAUUCGGAUUAAUACUCCAUAAUAUUACAACUUCGCAUGUUGAUGUAAUUAAAGCUUUGGCGGAUAGAGAUGAGUAUGCGUCCUAUUAGCUUGUUGGUGAGGUAAUGGCUCACCAAGGCUGCGAUAGGUAGGGGGCCUGAGAGGGUGAUC
Molecule: ribosomal RNA, 251 nt
Filed under: uncultured bacterium
Lineage: Bacteria
Description: partial 16S ribosomal RNA
Rfam family: Bacterial small subunit ribosomal RNA
Source: RNAcentral